ACAUUAUAUUUUAACUUUUUAAAUCCAUCUCAUGGAUUAUCCUGACUAAAGUUUUGCUAAAUUGAAAUACACUGAUGCAUAUCUCCUACCAAUUCAGAGGGGUUAAUUCCAUCUUGACUCAUACACCGACUUGAUAAGUACUUGACUGCACCUAGUAUCCUUCCAUCACUAAGUUAGAAACUCAGAUAGUUCGAUACUAAAGUAUAGUGAGUUGCUUUUAAGUUACCGUAGUGGUCUCAGAUCGAAGGGACACUUAUAUCCAUAUCCUUCACAAGCUACUCUUGACAGCAGAGUGCUCAGCACAUGGUCACGUUCGAUGCGAAUGUACUCCUACAUUCCAUCUGCAUGCCAUAAUAAUAUCUCUACACUCUUUGAUUAAGAGGACAACCAACUCAUAUAGCACAUAAUGACCUACACUUGAUAUCACUAUCGUCCUAGUAAUAGCGUAUGAUUUAGUCAUGAAUAAUUUUAAGGACAUAAUGAUAAAUCCUUCUUUAUCGAUUAAUAUAUAUAGUCCUAAAGACUUCAUUACAAUACAGGAGUUCAAAGAUGGUCAAUUUGUAAUGAAAAUACUAAAUAACUUCUAUUAAUAAAAAUUUA
RNAcentral lists this long non-coding RNA (600 nucleotides) under Elaeis guineensis (African oil palm). RNAcentral's name for it is "long non-coding RNA (EGUI_LNC081693)". The record is from RNAcentral. Lineage: Eukaryota; Viridiplantae; Streptophyta; Magnoliopsida; Arecales; Arecaceae.